This 497-nucleotide ribosomal RNA is filed under the name uncultured bacterium. RNAcentral describes it as "partial 16S ribosomal RNA". It matches the Rfam family "Bacterial small subunit ribosomal RNA", at positions 28 to 507 of the family's 1533-position model. The record is from RNAcentral.
GAUGAACGCUGGCGGCGUGCCUAAUACAUGCAAGUCGAGCGAACGGACGAGAAGCUUGCUUUUCUGAUGUUAGCGGCGGACGGGUGAGUAACACGUGGAUAACCUACCUAUAAGACUGGGAUAACUUCGGGAAACCGGAGCUAAUACCGGAUAAUAUUUUGAACCGCAUGGUUCAAAAGUGAAAGACGGUCUUGCUGUCACUUAUAGAUGGAUCCGCGCUGCAUUAGCUAGUUGGUAAGGUAACGGCUUACCAAGGCAACGAUGCAUAGCCGACCUGAGAGGGUGAUCGGCCACACUGGAACUGAGACACGGUCCAGACUCCGACGGGAGGCAGCAGUAGGGAAUCUUCCGCAAAGGGCGAAAGCCUGACGGAGCAACGCCGCGUGAGUGAUGAAGGUCUUCGGAUCGUAAAACUCUGUUAUUAGGGAAGAACAUAUGUGUAAGUAACUGUGCACAUCUUGACGGUACCUAAUCAGAAAGCCACGGCUAACUACGUG